This 787-nucleotide unclassified non-coding RNA is filed under the name Hevea brasiliensis (rubber tree). The record is from RNAcentral. Lineage: Eukaryota; Viridiplantae; Streptophyta; Magnoliopsida; Malpighiales; Euphorbiaceae.
AUAUUAAGGAGACUAUGGGUCUACAGAUGCAGUUCACUUGGCUAACCCCCAAAUUACAUAUCGAUAGAAUACGACAUAUAGAAGACUCCUUUUUUCCCUAGCAAUAUAUGCGAUUCUUCAUAGAAUCAUUCAGACAACCUUUAUUCUCAACAUCACGUCAACAACCAAUCUUCAUGAUUGUCAAUAUGCCAGACGAGUUUCACAAUAUCAGCUAUCCUGUAUUUCUGUCAUGUCUACUUCAGUUGGGAGACUCAAAAAUGCAAAUUAGAAAAUAAUAAUGGGAUCUUCAUCAAAAUGGCACCCAUUACCACACCACAUCAAGGAACUAGGUUUCGUUCCACUGCAAGCUAGAUAUGCUGAAUAAUUUGUUACGUCAACUAGGAUUAUAAUACCCUCCUACCUUUUGUGAAUACAAAGAAGGAAUGUCUCUUCAAAGUAGAAAACACAUAUCCCAGAUGACACCAUAUUACGGAUCAUAAUAUGAGGACAGAAAAGAGAAAGAAAGACAAAGAAACAUAGCUCCUGAGAGUCUGAGACUUUAGUUUCUAGGGUAUAUAAUACUUUAUACAAUCAUUUUUGCAGAUUUCAUUCAAUAGUGUAAUAAAAUAGCAACUUCUUGAUCCAGGUAGAAGGAGCAAUAGUGACAUCAACAUAAAGAUAAGCUACAAAGAAAUAGAAUACUCCUUAUAACAUUUCAAUACGUCAUGUCUCCUGAUACAUCAAAAAUUGCUGAUUUAGGUAUUAAACAGUUCAGGUGUCUACAAGCACAAGCACAAGCACAAGCACA